AGUGAACGCUGGCGGCGUGCUUAACACAUGCAAGUCGAACGAGAACGGAAUAUAGCUUGCUAUAUUUGUCAGCUAAGUGGCGCACGGGUGAGUAAUGUAUAGAUAACCUGCCCUUAAGAAAGGAAUAACAGUUGGAAACGACUGCUAAUGCCCUAUAUGCCUUUAAUACAUAAGUAUGCAAGGGAAACGCUUUAGUGCUUAAGGAUGGGUCUGUAUGGUAUCAGCUUGUUGGUGAGGUAAUGGCUCACCAAGGCUAUGAUGCCUAAGUGGUUUGAGAGGAUGAUCAGUCACACUGGAACUGAGACACGGUCCAGACUCCUACGGGAGGCAGCAGUGGGGAAUAUUGCACAAUGGACGAAAGUCUGAUGCAGCAACGCCGCGUGGAGGAUGACACAUUUCGGUGCGUAAACUCCUUUUAUAUAGGAAGAUAAUGACGGUACUAUAUGAAUAAGCACCGGCUAACUCCGUGCCAGCAGCCGCCGUAA
RNAcentral lists this ribosomal RNA (485 nucleotides) under uncultured bacterium. RNAcentral describes it as "partial 16S ribosomal RNA". It matches the Rfam family "Bacterial small subunit ribosomal RNA", at positions 29 to 523 of the family's 1533-position model. The record is from RNAcentral.